GUCGGUCUUCGGUAGUGGUCUUCCGGACACGGUCCGGGGGACUUCGAUCGACGGCCGCC
Molecule: non-coding RNA, 59 nt
Organism: Rhodococcus jostii RHA1
Lineage: Bacteria; Bacillati; Actinomycetota; Actinomycetes; Mycobacteriales; Nocardiaceae
Source: Rfam